UUUCUUUUAGGAAGAUGACGUCCCUUAAAUGCAAAUUAUUCAUCCGCUUCACUUUGUCAGCUCAUUGUACCAAUAAUAAGCUGAUCAUUUUAAGAUGGAAUAUUU
Molecule: small nucleolar RNA, 105 nt
Organism: Vicia villosa (hairy vetch)
Lineage: Eukaryota; Viridiplantae; Streptophyta; Magnoliopsida; Fabales; Fabaceae
Product: small nucleolar RNA snoR99
Exons: 1
Source: RefSeq, a predicted model, not a curated record